This is a long non-coding RNA of Ostrea edulis (European flat oyster), 3207 nucleotides long. RefSeq lists it as uncharacterized. The transcript is spliced from 2 exons. The record is from RefSeq and is a predicted model, not a curated record. Lineage: Eukaryota; Metazoa; Mollusca; Bivalvia; Ostreida; Ostreidae.
AGCACGAUUACGCUGUCGUAUAAAUUACUAUAAUCGAAAUAAACAUUUCCUUUAUACAUGUAACCUCCAAGAUUUUUACUUCUUGCGAUGAGGAGCACUUUUCAAGUAGUUUGUGUUUACUUUGACAAGUUUCCAGAAUUUGUGACGUCUGCAGACUAGUGUCACUCGGAGCUCCGUUGUACAUAUCGAAAGAACUCACCCGAGGACUACCGAUGAGGUUUAGUCGUCCAUAUCCGGCCCCGCAGAUGAUUUCACGAGUCAGGCAUAUUGUGUAAUAUCUGUAGUGAGCCAUGUACACUAUAUAAAAACAGGAUAGGUCGAAAUUUCGUGAUAUUUCAAAACUUAGCCAGUACUACCUGUUGUAGACUAAUUUGCACGAGAAACUCCAUCGUCCAUGGAUGUUGCUGCUAUAUUCUUCGCAACCUUUGCCUUCCUUAUAGUGGUGGGAUUUGUGAUUUUCUAUCUGAUUGGGCAGGAUAAGUUAAGACUGAGAGAUGGGUGUAUCUUUCUAAUCGACUGUCUCAAGUCUCUCUGUCCGUGUACACGUAGCACAGAGCAGGUGACUUCAGAUAUGAGAGAUACCAGAGAAAUACACGUUAAUAUAGCAACUAUUGAUGAAAACGAACGUGGUAUUUCUGACGUUCAUUGCAAUCCGCCGUCAUAUGACUCUGUAGCAGCAGACAUAUUACGUGAUAAGGAUUUACCAAGAUAUGAGGAUGUUAAACACAAUAUAGAAGGAUGAUUUCACACCUUGCAGCUUUAAUAGAUGAGAACAAUGCAUUCUACAAUCCCCCAGAACCGUGUUCAAUUUCCAUUCAACUCAUUGAUAUGGAGAUAUUGGAGAUGUUUUCUGUACAGUGCCUGAAUGUCUCCCAAACAACAUUGGUACAUUUUACAAACAUCUCUGUACCAGUACAAUAGGAAUGAUUACCCCAUUGUCAGAAUUGUUGAAGAAUAACCCCUCAGUCUUGAGGUAUUGUUUAAAAAAUUUGGACUUGGUUUUUAUAUUUUCCUAAAAUUUUUUUAAACCUCAUGGGUUGUUCACCAACAAAUUCCUCAUGGGUAUUGAUACAUAUAUUUUAAGUACCCACUAGCAACUAACUGAAUGCAGCUUUACUUGCACAUUCCCACAUAAAUAUUAGAUGAUAAUUUUUUGUUAUCUUUUAAGGUAGAUCUAUACUCGGCCUUAAAUGGACUCAAUCAUGAAAAAAUUGCCUUUACAAGAUAAAUAUAUAUUCCAGCCAUAAAUAGACAUUGAAAAAAAUAUAUGUUGACAUGCUAUUUUCAUUGUUAUUGCUUCUCAAAAGUAAGCACCCCAUCAACAUUAAGGAAAAUGCACUCCUCCUUCUUUAUUUUUCUUAUUAAUUAUUAUUUUCCCAAACAAAUGGGCUGUGAUAAGCAACAUAAACUAUAUACCCUUUAUUUAAUGGUAUGUAAUCAUUUAUUCUAAUAAAUUGGAAAUAUACUCUUAUAUUAAGUAGUAAAUGGAGAAUUCUGCAUACUUUUACUAUAUUAUGAAACUUCCACUAUAUAGGUCCCCAAUAAAUAAAAUAGCUAUUACCCACCAAAAAGCAAAAGCUUUUAAAUUAAUGGCACACCCUCCAGAGAGACAAAGACGUUUUCUCUGUUCUACAUUGUACCUAUAGUGUGGUUCAUACCAACGCCAUAAAAAUUUAAGGGAUAUGCUCACACCUUCAUUUCAGAAUAAUCAACCUGCAUGAUAAUUGUGAAGUGCAAAUAGACUUCUGAUGAGGCGGAUCUGCAUGCAGCUAAACUUCAAUCUAUCGAUCAAUCCAAUCAAUUUGCUCAAUUUUCACACCGCCGAAACACUUUAAAAUUAGUGUAGAGUCAAGUGAUUGUUGAGGUAUGUGGCUGAUGGGAGCCAUAUAUAUUCUUAGAUUUAUGGGGGCUAGUGUUGAAGAAGUAAUUUUGGAGAAAUCCUGUAAUCCGAUACACGAGGUUUGGGACCUUUCAGCGAACAUAGUAGAUAAACGUGUAGUGAAUGGAUAAGUUGGCUAAUUUGUAAUGUCAUUAGAUUUCUGUAAAACUCCAUUGGCGAUGAUGAAAUCGCAGUAAAUCAAAGAAUUGGGAGCCAUGUUUCCUUCCUUGUUAAGCUCCACUGACACACACACAUUAUAUUCUUAAGAGCUGUUCUUGAUUUCGUUUUUUAUUUAAUAUUUUCGUUUUUAUUUAUUAAUUUCGUUUUUUAUUUAAUGAUUUCGUUUUUUAUAUAAUAAUUUCGUUUUUUAUAAUAAUUUCGUUUUUUAUAUAAUAAUUUCGUUUUUUAUUUAGUUUUCGUUUUUUAUAUAAAAAAUAAUUUCGUUUUUUAUUUAGUUUUCGUUUUUUAUAUAAUAAUUUCGUUUUUUAUAUAAUAAUUUCGUUUUUUAUUUAGUUUUGGUUUGCACUAAUGGGCUUCCGUAAGUAUUGACAAAAAAAAAAUUUAAAAAGUUAUUUUAUCUGGCGGCCGCCACUUAAUUUAUAUAUGUCGGCUCGCUGAGUGAUUUAGAAUAGUACACAAACACGCAGCAUUGUUUUUCAGAACGUAUAGGGACAGCCGGAGGAGAAAUUGUCUUCUACAAUUGUUGACAAGCAGAAAAGGAACCUAAAAUGUCUCUUUUGCCCUAACUUCGUACUCCUAAAUUGAAGGGAGGGGGCUCCGUUCAUUCUUCAAUUGAUCAGUUAAUUAUUAUUACAUUUUUACCAUUCAUUACUACCACCAAAAGAGUGCGGUGGGGGCCAAUCCGCCAAUUAAUCUUAUUUCACAUGUGAAAAUAACUUAGUUUGCAUGUGAAAAUAACAGAAAUUGAACGUUUUCAAAAAAAUGGAGGGUCAGCCCCGUGGUUCUACGUAUUUAACAGUACAAUCGAAAAACAAUAAUUUAAUGCUCUUAAUUGUAUAUACAUAUAUCACAUACAAAUUACUAAGCAUUGGGGAGGGAUUGCACUCCUUUCAUUUUGAGAGAGAGUGAGAGAGAGAAAGAGAGAGGAGUUGAAUAACUGACGACAGCCAUAUAAAUGAUUUAAAUUGAGUGGCAUCCGCCAUAUAAAUUAAGUGGCGGCCGCCAGUUAAUUCAUCUGGCGGCCACCAGUUAAAUUAACUGCGGCGCCACAUGAAUUAACUGGCGGUCGCCAGAUAAUAAAUGGCAGCCGCCAGUUAAUAAGUGGCGGCUGCCAGUUAAAUUAAGUGGCGGCCGACACAUAAAUUAAG